Molecule: small RNA, 505 nt
Filed under: Pan troglodytes (chimpanzee)
Lineage: Eukaryota; Metazoa; Chordata; Mammalia; Primates; Hominidae
Description: processed transcript
Source: RNAcentral
GAGCCCGUCGCGGGAAUGCAAGGAGCUGGACGGCCUCUGGAGCUUCCGCGCCGACUUCUCUGACAACCGACGCCGGGGCUUCGAGGAGCAGUGGUACCGGCGGCCGCUGUGGGAGGGCUGGUGAAUUACCAGAUCUCUGUCAAGGGCAGUAACCUGUUCAAGUUGGAAGUGCGUCUUUUGGAUGCAGAAAACAAAGUCGUGGCGAAUGGGACUGGGACCCAGGGCCAACUUAAGGUGCCAGGUGUCAGCCUCUGGUGGCCGUACCUGAUGCACGAACGCCCUGCCUAUCUGUAUUCAUUGGAGAUCCGAGGGAAGGGCUUCGACUGGCCGCUGCUGGUGAAGGACUUCAACCUGCUUCGCUGGCUUGGUGCCAACGCUUUCCGUACCAGCCACUACCCCUAUGCAGAGGAAGUGAUGCAGAUGUGUGACCGCUAUGGGAUUGUGGUCAUCGAUGAGUGUCCCGGCGUGGGCCUGGCGCUGCCGUGAGUCUCUGCUGUGCACCUGC